Long non-coding RNA from Dermochelys coriacea (leatherback sea turtle), 185 nucleotides. RefSeq lists it as uncharacterized. Lineage: Eukaryota; Metazoa; Chordata; Testudines; Dermochelyidae. The record is from RefSeq and is a predicted model, not a curated record. The transcript has 5 exons.
GAUCUUGGCCAAUUCUGGAUAUGGCAGCAUUAUCCAUGCACAAGGUGGACAAAGAGUCAAUCCUUGUGAUAGAGGUUCAUCCUCCUACAACAUCAUUAUCUGUAAACUGAGUCAUUCUUCUACCUCACAAAACAGCAAAACCAAUGGCCAACAGGGUGGAUCGUCUUCUUCCGGUGUCAGUACGG